This is a long non-coding RNA of Photinus pyralis (common eastern firefly), 1540 nucleotides long. RefSeq lists it as uncharacterized. The transcript has 3 exons. Lineage: Eukaryota; Metazoa; Arthropoda; Insecta; Coleoptera; Lampyridae. The record is from RefSeq and is a predicted model, not a curated record.
GACAGACCGCAUGCUGCAUUACUAAAUCGAACAACCGGUAUAGGUAGACCGCAUACUACAUUAGCACCCAAAUGCCUAAAAAAUAGUAACAUAUAAAAACUUAGAAGAAACCUUUCUAUAUUAUAUCCAUUACUCAUACACCAGAUAUAAGUAAAGGUACAGUUCUUUCCGGAAAAAUAUGUCGAGUGUCAGAGAGAAAAUACCUUCGACUGUUUACAUCUGACACAAAUUGCUAGAAAUUUAUGUCAUAGAUAAGUAUACGACAGUCCUCGAAAAGCUAUAUAUACAGAAAUGUUUAAAAUAAAUGUACGACCUGUCUACAUUUAAAUACAAAUUAUUGCGAACACUUCUGUCGUGGGUCAUCAUUUCAGACAGUUUAUUUUUGAAUAAUGAAAGCAUCUAAACGAAAAGUCGCGGCCUCUAUUAUUAUUCUAUUAAAUUCUAUGAAAAAGAAGAAAACACGUUCUGUGUGGGUUCGAGAGUGGAUUUGGAGACGUAAUAAUCUCGGUGCCCACACUCAAUUAAUGUCUGAACUCUGUAUUGAAGAUCCAGCACAGUUUUCAAAUUUUUUAAGGAUGAAACCUACUGAUUUUGAAAAGCUUGUGUGUAAAAUUGGACCCCUUAUUUCAAAACAGGGUACAAAAUUCAGGAAAGCUAUUAGUGCAACAGACAGACUUGCUUUAACUUUGCGAUUUUUAGCUUCUGGUGAUUCAUACACCAGCCUACAAUACCUAUUCAGAAUACCAAAAUGUACAAUAAGCCUCAUUGUUCCUGAAGUGUGCAGAGCAAUAAUGUGAGCAUUAAAAGAAGAUUACAUUAAGGCACCGACUACAUCAGAUGAUUGGCAAAGUGUUGCCAACAACUUUGAACAGAAAUGGCACUUCCCUAAAUGUUUGGGGGCUAUUGACGGAAAACAUGUUGUUAUCCAAGCUCCGGAGAAUAGCGGAAGUUAUUAUUUUUAUAAAGGGCAGCAUAGUAUUGUUUUAAUGGCAAUUGUUGAUGCCGCGUACAAAUUCCUUGUCAUCUCAGUUGGAGCCAAUGGGAGAGUAUCAGAUGGUGGUGUUUUUAGAGCCAGUGGAGUUGCAGAUUUCAUUGAAACUGCGUCAGCAGGAUUAGAAAAGACCCCUCCUACCAGGAAGAACAUUAUGUGUACCACAUGUUUUUGUAGCGGACGAUGCAUUCCCAUUACAACCUCAUAUUAUGAAGCCGUAUUCAUUUAAUAGUAAAGGUUCCAUGAGAAUUUUUAACUACAGACUGUCUCGAGCAAGAAGAAUAGUAGAAAACGCCUUUGGUAUUAUGUCAAGUGUAUUUAGAGUGUUAAGGAAACCGCUUCUUCUUGCCCCAGAACGUGUAGUCUGUAGUUUUAGCUGCUUGCAGUUUACAUAAUUGGCUAUUGUCUGAUAAAUAUUCUGCAAAUACCUACGCUCCUGAAGGUACCUUUGAUAGAGAAAAUUUGGAAACGGGAGAAAUGAUACAGGGAAAAUGGCGACAUGAAAAUUCGGAGGCCGCAAGUCUACAACCACUGGUGCAGCAAGGCAGU